AGUAUACCCUAGACCACCCAAACGUCCCACAACCUAUUGAAUCUCACAACAUAUGUUUGGAUAGCACUUCCCAGCCUACAACGCACUUUCUCAGGGAUUCUCAAACUUCCUCCCACCUCACAUCCUUUUAAGGCAAGUGAGUGUGGGAACUCUGGUUCAGGGAAGUUAAAUCACUUGCCUAAGGUCAUGCAGAUCAUUAAUGCCAUAGCCAAGACCUGAGCACGUUCUCCUAAAGCCAGGUCAGGCCUCUUGUCACAUACUCCAUUGACUCUAGUGCCUAACCCAUGCUCAUCACAGAGCUCACAUUGGAACCAUUGUUAAACAGACUCUAAUGGAAAUGACUUCGUUCAGCUGGUGAACAUUUUGGAAGAUUCCAGAAAAACAUGAACAAGUGUUUGAGUGCUCUUAAGGGGAUUGUCUAAUAUCUUGGCUCCUGACUCAUCCUUAGAAGUCUUCCAGCCACCUUGUACCCAUUUCAAGCCCAAGGGCUCUUUAACGUAAAUGAGUUACUGAGCAGAGUGUUGCUGGAGAUGGCCACUGGAGAGGCUGAGUCAAAUCAAUCUCCUCACCUGAGGACUUCCUAAGACCAGCGCACUGAAGGACCAGCAGCAACAACAACAAUAAUGCUAAUGCUCCCUUAUGGACAAGACUGCAAUUCUCUGCCUGCUGAAGCUCAGCUAUGACCACGUGACUUGCCUUGGCCAAUGAAAGAGGAAGAGUAUGUAACACUGCUGAAUGGAAGCAAGUGGCCCCUGCCCCUGCUGCAGAGAUUCUAGACAUGUGUGCCAUGCUGGAGCAAGGAGACAGGGAGUCCUGGAGAAAGGAGACAUGGAACAGAGCUCCCAGCCCAGUCAAUAUGUAACAUGAGUGAGAAAUAAAUAACACUUUGUUGCUAGAAGUUUUUUUUAAACUGAAGUAUAACUCAGCUUCCCCUGA
Molecule: long non-coding RNA, 936 nt
Filed under: Homo sapiens (human)
Lineage: Eukaryota; Metazoa; Chordata; Mammalia; Primates; Hominidae
Description: long intergenic non-protein coding RNA 3064
Source: RNAcentral